CAUACACAUGGUUAGCGGAUGUUAAUGCGAGUGUAGCGAAAUGCUUGUGCUUCUAGUUCCGACAAUGCAGUAAUAACCAACAAGUAAUCUAACUAACAAUUCCAAAAAACUACUGUCUUAUACACAGUGUAAGGGGAUAAAGAAUAUGUACAUAAGGAUAUAUGAAUGAGUGAUGGUACAGAGCAGCAUAGGCAAGAUACAGUAGAUGGUAUCGAGUACAGUAUAUACAUAUGAGAUGAGUAUGUAAACCAAGUGGCAUAGUUAAAGUGGCUAGUGAUACAUGUAUUACAUAAGGAUGCAGUCGAUGAUAUAGAGUACAGUAUCUACGUAUGCAUAUGAGAUGAAUAAUGUAGGGUAAGUAACAUUAUAUAAGGUAGCAUUGUUUAAAGUGGCUAGUGAUAUAUUUACAUCAUUCCCAUCAAUUCCCAUAAUUAAAGUGGCUGGAGUUGAGUCAGUGUCAUUGACAGUGUGUUGGCAGUAGCCACUCAAUGUUAGUGGUGGCUGUUUAACAGUCUGAUGGCCUUGAGAUAGAAGCUGUUUUUCAGUCUCUCGGUCCCAGCUUUGAUGCACCUGUACUGACCUCGCCUUCUGGAUGACAGCGGGGUGAACAGGCAGUGGCUCGGGUGGUUGAUGUCCUUGAUGAUCUUUAUGGCCUUCCUGUAACAUCGGGUGGUGUAGGUGUCCUGGAGGGCAGGUAGUUUGCCCCUGGUGAUGCGUUGUGCAGACCUCACUACCCUCUGGAGAGCCUUACGGUUGAGGGCGGUGCAGUUGCCAUACCAGGUGGUGAUACAGCCCGCCAGGAUGCUCUCGAUUGUGCAUCUGUAGAAGUUUGUGAGUGCUUUUGGUGACAAGCCGAAUUUCUUCAGCCUCCUGAGGUUGAAGAGGCGCUGCUGCGCCUUCCUCACGAUGCUGUCUGUGUGAGUGGACCAAUUCAGUUUGUCUGUGAUGUGUAUGCCGAGGAACUUAAAACUUGCUACCCUCUCCACUACUGUUCCAUUGAUGUGGAUCAACCCGGUUAGUAGCCGUUACCGUUCAUUACCAGUGCUCGGUGUCUCUCCAGUGGUGUGGUAAUGUUUCCUCGCUCUGUCUCUCAAUUCAUUUCAAUCCAAGGGGUUUUAUUGGCAUGGAAAACAUAUGUUUACAUUGCCAAAGCAAGUGAAAUAGGUAAUAAACAAAAGUGAAAUAAACAAUACAAAAUAAACAGUUUAACUUUACACUCAAAAAGUUCCAAAAGAAUAAAAGACAUUUCAAAGAUCCUAUUAUGUCUAUAUACAGUGUUGUAACUAUGCGCAAAUAGUAUAAAAGGGAAAAUAAAUAAACAUAAAUAUGGGUUGUAUGGUGAUUCUGCUUCACUGGUUGCCCUUUUCUUGUGGCAGUUUCCACCUCAUUCAUAGCCGCUCUUCUCUCAAUAGCAAGGCUAUGCUCACUGAGUCUGUACAUAGUCAAAGCUUUCCUUAAGUUUGGGUCAGUCACAGUGGUCAGGUAUUCUGCCACUAUAUACUCUCUGUUUAGGGCCAAAUAGCAUUCUAUUGCUGUUUUUUUGUUAAUUCUUUCUAAUGUGUCAAAGUAAUUAUCUUUUUGUUUUCUCAUGAUUUGGUUGGGUCUAAUUGUGUUGCUGUCCUGGGGCUCUGUAGGGUGUGUUUGUGUUUGUGAACAGAGCCCCAGGACCAGCUUGCUUAGUGGACUCUUCUCCAGGUUCAUCUCUCUGUAGGUGAUGGCUUUGUUACAGAAGGUUUGGGAAUCGCUUCUUUUUAGGUGGUUGUAGAUUUGAAAUGCUCUUUUCUGUAUUUUGAUAAUUAGUUGGUAUCGGCCUAAUUCUGCUCUGCAUGCAUUAUUUGGUGUUUCACAUUGUACACGGGGGAUAUUUUUGCAGAAUUUUGCAUGCAGAGUCUCAAUUUGGUGUUUGUCCCAUUUUGUGAAGUCUUGGUUGGUGAGCGGAGUCAUUUUAGCCAGAUCCUAAUUGGUAUGUCAAAUUGUAUGUUCCUUUUGAUGGCAUAGAAGGCCCUUCUUGCCUUUAAAAACAAGUUUUAAUGACUCCAACUUAAGUGUUUGUAAACCUCCUGCUUCAACUGUAUAUAUAAAAAACAAUGGGUACAUAUUGAAGAUGUCCACGUUCAUCCCCAGAAUCUUUUCACAUGUUAAUUUUCUGAAAAUAGCUGUGCAGCAACACCCCCCAUCCAAACUGCCACAGCUUGAGAGGAUCUGCUGAGAAGAAGGGGAGAAACUCCUUAAAUACAGGUGUGCCAAGCUUGUAGCGUCAUACCCAAGAAGACUCCAGGCUGUAAUCGCUGUCGAACGUGCUUCAACAAAGUACUGAGUAAAUGGUCCGAAUGCCUAUGUAAAUGUGAUAUUUCAGUUUAAAAAAUAAAUAAAUUGUAAUACAUUUGCAAACAUUUCUAAAAACCUCUUUUUGCUUUGUCAUUAUGGGGUAUUGUGUGUAUGAUUGAUGAGGAAAAAAUAGAAUUUAAGAAUAAGGCUGUAACGUAACAAAAUGUGGAGAAGGUCAAGGGGAUCUGAAUACUUUCUGAAGGCACUACCCAAGAUGCAUCUGUUCUGGCGGCGGCCCAACGUCUCAUUAAGACACUUUAUGUUGGAGUUUCCCCUAUUUUGGCAGAAACCUGUAUAUCCUGUGUUUAAACCUACAUCUGGGAUAUUUUGAAUAUAGACGUAGUUUAUACUGUACGAGAUGUGGUUUUCCAAAUAUAGUCAUAUGCUAUUCGUUUUGUCUGUAGCCUGUUCAAUACAUUUGCAUCUCUUUACAAUGAAUUAAAAUCACACUUAAAAGGUUUGAAAGUCCAUUGAAUUGUUGAUUUUAUACACAAAUAAAUUAACUCAAUAUGUGAGGUUCUAAUGAAGAGUUAAAAAGAUUAUUACAAUCAAUCAAUCAAUCAUUCAAUUAUUCUACUCUCAAAUAAGUUGAUCAGGGCCAAUAGUCUGUUAUGACCAAUGAUCAGGGCCAAUAGUCUGUUAUGACCAAUGAUCAGGGCCAAUAGUCUGUUAUGACCAAUGAUCAGGGCCAAUAGUCUGUUAUGACCAAUGAUCAGGGCCAAUAGUCUGUUAUGACCAAUGAACAGGGCCAAUAGUCUGUUAUGACCAAUGAACAGGGCCAAUAGUCUGUUAUGACCAAUGAUCAGGGCCAAUAGUCUGUUAUGACCAAUGAUCAGGGCCAAUAGUCUGUUAUGACCAAUGAACAGGGCCAAUAGUCUGUUAUGACCAAUGAUCAGGGCCAAUAGUCUGUUAUGACCAAUGAACAGGGCCGGUUAUUCAAAAACACAAACCGAGAAUCAACAUAACAGCUACAGAAUUCCUCACAAGAUGUGAACAACCAGUACAUGUGCUUGGUAUAUACAUGUACCAAACACCAGAGUCCAUCAAUUUUAAGUGUCUUUCUGUUCUUUUCUACAGAAACCUAAAUGAGUCUUUCACAGGGUGCCAGGAAUCUUACUCCGUGGAAGACACGUCAUCACAGACGUUGGCUGUAGAUCACCUGGGUGGUUGUCUGUCGAUGGACAGUGGAGAUUCAAUGUGGAGAUUCAUCAGAAAAUUGCCAGAAAAUCAGUACUGAUGUUCUGUGGUCAGAGGCGACCACCAGCUGCUUUCAACCAUUCGCCAAACAGUGUGAUUGGUCCAUUAGAACUCGCCCCAGGUGGGUGAUGCAGGGUCGCAGAGCCAAUCAGGACUGUCCAGGAUGUCGGAGAGGGACAAUUCUAUUGGGGGUUCAAUGGCUGGGGUAGACAAGUUCAGAGGGUACAUGGUCAGAGGGUAGGAGAUGGGUGACAGUGUAGGAGCAGGGAUAGUUGGAGGGGCAAGAUUAGUUAUUGGGGUAGUUGGAUGGGCAAGAUUAUUUAUCGAGGUAGUUAGAGGGGAAAUAUUAGUUUUUGGGGUAAUUGGAGAGGAACAAAUAUUGUUUGGGGCAAUCAGAGAGGCAUUAUUAGAUAUUGGGGAAUAUAGAGUGGAAAGCAAAGGGUAGGGGUUAGUCACAUGGGCAGUUGAAGGAACAGUGACGAGAGUGGGGAGUGGUAAACAAGUCCUCUGCCCUCCAGGUACUGGGGCAAGAAGAGAGCCCGGGGUAGUUUGAGGGGACACAGCGGGUGCCGGGGUAGUUUGAGGGGACACAGCGGGUGCCGGGGUGGUUUGAGGUGACACAGCGGGUGCAGGGGUAGUCACAGGGGCAAUAGAUGACGCGGAGGGGGACAGGAUCUGGCAGCAGGGGAUAUUGGCGGGUAUAGACGAGGGCCGGAGGGUGCAGGCAGAUUCAUGUUGCUCAAGGGUGGCUGUGUAGAGCCGGAACUCUCUUCUCAGACCAGCAAUCUCCUUCUCUAGAGCUGAGUUAGAACUUUCCAAGGUCUGUAGAUCCU
Long non-coding RNA from Oncorhynchus tshawytscha (Chinook salmon), 4358 nucleotides. The record is from Ensembl. NCBI's taxonomy places the organism in Eukaryota, Metazoa, Chordata, Actinopteri, Salmoniformes, Salmonidae.